This 253-nucleotide ribosomal RNA is filed under the name uncultured bacterium. RNAcentral's name for it is "partial 16S ribosomal RNA". It matches the Rfam family "Bacterial small subunit ribosomal RNA", at positions 524 to 776 of the family's 1533-position model. The record is from RNAcentral.
UACGGAGGGGGCUAGCGUUAUUCGGAAUUACUGGGCGUAAAGCGCACGUAGGCGGAUUGGAAAGUCAGAGGUGAAAUCCCAGAGCUCAACCCCGGAACUGCCUUUGAAACUGCCAGUCUUGAGGUCGGGAGAGGUGAGUGGAAUUCCGAGUGUAGAGGUGAAAUUCGUAGAUAUUCGGAGGAACACCAGUGGCGAAGGCGGCUCACUGGCUCGGUACUGACGCUGAGGUGCGAAAGCGUGGGGAGCAAACAGG